UAUGGCAUUGGAAGCGUCCUAUUUAGUUGCCCAACCCCGGUGAAACCAUCUGUCAUUUCUCCCCCGCCGCCCCUCGUCAUCCUCUUCCCCGCCGCCUGUCCUCCUCUUCCCCGCUGUCGCUCGUCCUCAUCUUCGCCGGUGUCGGCCCCGCCACCUGCAUGCGCCUCCGCCAUGUAGGAAUUGUUCUUGAUGGCUUAUAAGCCUAGGAAGGCGAUGGUUGAUCAGUACAUGGAAGAACUGGAGCGGCAAGUUUGUGCGAAGAUUGGGAAAGCAGCCUGUUGGUGGCAAACCCAUUGAGGGAGGAUCCAACAAUCCUUCGUCUGAUGCACUGCAGUCAACCAGUGGACCGUCCUGCUUACCACCGGCUGUGAAUGCUGAACUAAGGCUUCUUGCUGUAAAAAAGCAGUAUGUUAUGUUUUAUCAUGUUAUUGUAUGUCAUUCAACCCCCUACCCUGAAGCAACUUUCAUGCUUAUCUGAACUUGCUAAAUGCACUCUACAGUGCCAGCAGUUAGUACAGUCUCAGCACCUGCAUGUGCUUCUGUAUCCUCUGCUGACAGACCCCGUAAGCUAUGUUCAUCUUGUUUUUACAAUGACAACUUUCAUUUACGAAAUGAUGUAAGCUGUACGUAGUUGUCAUUAACAGGGCAAGUCGGCGUCUGAACUGAAAAAGCAUUAUGCUAGCAUCGGUCACUUCCACUAUGAGAAGAGGCCAAAGCGUUUUGUCAGAAUCAUGCAGGACAAGCGGUGCAAAUCCCGUUUGGUAUUACCCAACAGUGCAGCCUCUCUUUUACAGGCCAGCAAUCUGAGCUUGCCUAGGUUUAUCAAUCUGGAGACGAGCACGGGCUGUGGUUGGCGUGUUGAGUUGAAGCAAGAAGAUGGAAUGCUGGAGUUGGGUGCGUUGUGGUGUGCCUUUGCCAAGUUCCAUGGACUCAAGCUUGGAUGCGUGGUUGAAUUUGAGGUUGUACACCCUGAGCUCAUGAAGGUAAACAUCUACAAUGAGGCGGGAAUUGAGGUGACAUACACACUGUGUGGCGAUGUAAACUUCUUUACGUCGGAUAAGUGAGCCUUUGUCAUGUUAACUUAGGCUGGUAGUACUUGUGUCGUGCUUGCGAGAAGGUUUGCCUUGUCAAUGCGUAGACCAAGAUGAUUUAAGUUGUGUGUCUUUUGUGAACUCCUUAUGGUUCGUUUAAGGUGUCUGUCUACAGAAUUUAAGUACCGUGACUGCUUAUGGUU
This is a long non-coding RNA of Triticum urartu, 1234 nucleotides long. RefSeq lists it as uncharacterized. The record is from RefSeq and is a predicted model, not a curated record. Lineage: Eukaryota; Viridiplantae; Streptophyta; Magnoliopsida; Poales; Poaceae.